GACGAACGCUGGCGGCGUGCUUAACACAUGCAAGUCGAACGGAAAGGCCCUGCUUUUGUGGGGUGCUCGAGUGGCGAACGGGUGAGUAACACGUGAGUAACCUGCCCUUGACUUUGGGAUAACUUCAGGAAACUGGGGCUAAUACCGGAUAGGAGCUCCUGCUGCAUGGUGGGGGUUGGAAAGUUUCGGCGGUUGGGGAUGGACUCGCGGCUUAUCAGCUUGUUGGUGGGGUAGUGGCUUACCAAGGCUUUGACGGGUAGCCGGCCUGAGAGGGUGACCGGCCAAAUGGGGACGGGGAUACGGCCCAGACUCCUACGGGAGGCAGCAUGGGGGAAUAUUGCACAUUGGGCGGAAGCCUGAUGCAGCAACGCGGCGUGCGGGAUGACGGCCUUCGGUUUGAAAACCGCUUUGGCCGGGGACGAGGCUGGGGUGACGGUAAUGGGUAAGGAAGCACCGGCUAACUACGU
Molecule: ribosomal RNA, 467 nt
Filed under: uncultured bacterium
Lineage: Bacteria
Description: partial 16S ribosomal RNA
Rfam family: Bacterial small subunit ribosomal RNA
Source: RNAcentral